AAUGAACGUUGGCGGCGUGGAUUAGGCAUGCAAGUCGUGCGAGAAGUUCCUUGCUUGCAAGGGACGGACAGCGGCGAAAGGGAGAGUAACGCGUGGGUAUCUACCUUCAGGCCUGGGAUAGCGGCGGGAAACUGCCGGUAAUACCGGAUAAUGUCUCCGGACCAAAGGUGCGAUUCCGCCUGGAGAUGGGCCCGCGUCCUAUUAGCUUGUUGGUGGGGUAAUGGCCUACCAAGGCGAUGAUGGGUACCGGGUGUGAGAGCAUGGCCCGGCUCACUGGGACUGAGACACUGCCCAGACACCUACGGGUGGCUGCAGUCGAGAAUCUUCGGCAAUGGGCGCAAGCCUGACCGAGCGACGCCGCGUGCGGGAUGAAGGUCUUCGGGUUGUAAACCGCUGUCAGAGGGAAGGAAAUGCGCGGGGGUUCUCCCCCGGGUUUGACCGAACCUCAGAGGAAGCGCAGGCUAAGUUCGUGCCAGCAGCCGCAGUAACAC
This 491-nucleotide ribosomal RNA is filed under the name uncultured bacterium. Its description in RNAcentral is "bacterial SSU rRNA". It matches the Rfam family "Bacterial small subunit ribosomal RNA", at positions 28 to 526 of the family's 1533-position model. The record is from RNAcentral.